CUCUGUGUCAGCAUGCCUGCACCAGGUCACAACAAUGGCUGCUGCAAUGUCCCAGUUCCUAAAGAGGUCUCACCUCUCACCGAGAUGUGCUCAGAGCCUAUCAGCCACAUCUCCAUUCCAUGUUUCCCAUCUGGUGGGGUCGAAAGCGACUCAGAACAAAGUGACAUCUAAAUCAAGACUGAAGGAUGUGAAAUCGCGCUAUCAGAUGUAAAUAUAAUGAAAAUGUCAGUGAGACUCUCUCAACACCAAUCUUCUUGGUCCUCAAGAUGUUGUAAAAUAAAAAUGGGAUCUAGAUGCUUUGUGUUUCCAAAUAAACA
This is a long non-coding RNA of Diceros bicornis minor, 317 nucleotides long. RefSeq lists it as uncharacterized. The transcript is spliced from 3 exons. The record is from RefSeq and is a predicted model, not a curated record. Lineage: Eukaryota; Metazoa; Chordata; Mammalia; Perissodactyla; Rhinocerotidae.